RNAcentral lists this small RNA (690 nucleotides) under Pongo abelii (Sumatran orangutan). RNAcentral describes it as "retained intron". The record is from RNAcentral. Lineage: Eukaryota; Metazoa; Chordata; Mammalia; Primates; Hominidae.
CCUAACGCUCACUUCCAGGCUAUGGUUCACACGUCCGACUCAUGACCUGGGGGAACUCAAUUCUCGUCUGGAUGUCAUUCAGUUUUUUCUGCUGCCCCAGAAUCUGGACAUGGCUCAGAUGCUGCAUCGGCUCCUGGGUCACAUCAAGAACGUGCCUCUGAUUCUGAAACGCAUGAAGUUGUCCCACACCAAGGUCAGCGACUGGCAGGUUCUCUACAAGACUGUGUACAGUGCCCUGGGCCUGAGGGAUGCCUGCCGCUCCCUGCCGCAGUCCAUCCAGCUCUUUCGGGACAUUGCCCAAGAGUUCUCUGAUGACCUGCACCAUAUCGCCAGCCUCAUUGGGAAAGUAGUGGACUUUGAGGGCAGCCUUGCUGAAAAUCGCUUCACAGUCCUCCCCAACAUAGAUCCUGAAAUUGAUGAGAAAAAGCGAAGACUGAUGGGACUUCCCAAUUUCCUUACUGAGGUUGCCCGCAAGGAACUGGAGAAUCUGGACUCCCGUAUUCCUUCAUGCAGUGUCAUCUACAUCCCUCUGAUCGGCUUCCUUCUUUCUAUUCCCCGCCUGCCUUCCAUGGUAGAGGCCAGUGACUUUGAGAUUAAUGGACUGGACUUCAUGUUUCUCUCAGAGGAGAAGCUGCACUAUCGUAGUGCCCGAACCAAGGAGCUGGAUGCAUUGCUGGGGGACCUGCACUG